UAUGCUAUAUUAUUGUUAUGUUUGUCACAUUUAAUCGUCUUAAAAUUACAAUAAUAUUGUUUUUCGUAAUAAUGUAUUUGACAAAACAUCGUCCACAAAAAUGUUAUUAUGAAACACAUAUGCAUGUAUUACUUUUUGUUUGACAGCAACAAAUUAAAAGAAAAUAUAUUAUGGCCAAUUAGACAUUUACGAGAGUAAAUGUGAAUGCAGCAGGAAAUGACGUCAGGACCGCAGGAGUUGUUUGGAAAACUGAGUGGCACAAAGCGAGGGAGCCAGCAGCCGUGAAAAAAGGAGACACGAAAGGAAAAAGCAGGAUGGAGAGGGGCAGAAGAUUCCGCAUCCUGCUUUCUGAUAGACGAAAAAAAGGAAAAGCACAAGAAGAAGAAGAUCAAGAAGAACAAAAAAUAUAACAUUUUACCUAAAAGAAACAUAUAAUCAAUGAUGAUUGUAAAUAAAUAAAUAAAUAAGUUUAAUGUUA
This is a long non-coding RNA of Astyanax mexicanus (Mexican tetra), 478 nucleotides long. RefSeq lists it as uncharacterized. The record is from RefSeq and is a predicted model, not a curated record. The transcript is spliced from 2 exons. NCBI's taxonomy places the organism in Eukaryota, Metazoa, Chordata, Actinopteri, Characiformes, Acestrorhamphidae.